Molecule: long non-coding RNA, 188 nt
Filed under: Capra hircus (goat)
Lineage: Eukaryota; Metazoa; Chordata; Mammalia; Artiodactyla; Bovidae
Description: lncRNA (ENSCHIG00000007141.1)
Source: RNAcentral
CAUUACUCGGUGGCAGAAGCAGGCUCUGUCUUGCUCUGAAACUCUAAGACAACUCACUACCUCUGAAAAGAUGUGGAGAAGUUGCUUACAAAGAAGUAGGUCAUGUGUUAAACAGGAGGGAAGGUUCUUCAAAGAGCAGACCUGAGUAUUUCUGCAAGUUGACCCUCCCAAGUACCUGACAUUAUUUU